ACGAACGCUGGCGGCGUGCUUAACACAUGCAAGUCGAGCGGUAAGGCCCUUUCGGGGGUACACGAGCGGCGAACGGGUGAGUAACACGUGGGUGACCUGCCCUCAGCUCUGGGAUAAGCCUGGGAAACCGGGUCUAAUACCGGAUAUGACUCCAUGACGCAUGUUGUGGGGUGGAAAGCCUUGUGCGGCUGAGGAUGGGCCCGCGGCCUAUCAGCUUGUUGGUGGGGUGAUGGCCUACCAAGGCGACGACGGGUAGCCGGCCUGAGAGGGCGACCGGCCACACUGGGACUGAGACACGGCCCAGACUCCUACGGGAGGCAGCAGGUGGGGAAUCUUGCGCAA
RNAcentral lists this ribosomal RNA (342 nucleotides) under uncultured bacterium. RNAcentral's name for it is "bacterial SSU rRNA". It matches the Rfam family "Bacterial small subunit ribosomal RNA", at positions 29 to 371 of the family's 1533-position model. The record is from RNAcentral.